Long non-coding RNA from Raphanus sativus (radish), 1862 nucleotides. RefSeq lists it as uncharacterized. The record is from RefSeq and is a predicted model, not a curated record. The transcript is spliced from 5 exons. Lineage: Eukaryota; Viridiplantae; Streptophyta; Magnoliopsida; Brassicales; Brassicaceae.
AAUCAAAUAAUAACCCUAACACGUCAUUGAAUCCUUUCGAUGAUCUCCCAUCUUCAUCGUUUCAUCUUCUUCAACGGAUCGUCGCAGUAAGGUUUACAACUUCUGGCCUUUUCCGCUUCCUCCUUCAUCUUCAUCCCCUUUCAGCUUCCCUUACAAUUGUAAAUCACCAUUCAAAUUCUCCUCCUCCCACUAAAUUUUACAUUCAUCAAAUCGAAGACAACAACUCCACAAAUUACUGUUCGACUUCCCCUCUCCAACCUAUAUAUAAUACUCCAAUGUCACUUUGUUGUUUAUAUCUAUUAAUGGUUUUUGUGUUGGUAGAAUCAGGAGUUGAUAUCAAUCUCUGGAACUACCGUAGACAGAUAAUAGCUCUCUAUAGACUACUUUGAUGCAAGCUCUCUACCGUCCAGCAGCGAGAGAUCCUCAAGCUCUGCUCCUCAUUUGGAGAUCAAAGAAGAAGAUCUUUAGUCUGCCCCGAGAAAGAUCCGUAAACUUCAAUCCGUUUUAAAAGUCUGCCUUUCUGGUUUGAGCUUAAAAUAUGAUGAUAUUACAAGAAUAGAAGGGAUUAAGCGGCCUGAGCUCUUAUCAGCCCGAUCUAGCAUGACAGCUAAUGAAAGGAAGCUCGCAGAUGUUUGUGCGUUAAAUGCCAAUGAAGUGACAAAGUGAAUGAGCUGCUUAGAGUGUUUGGAGCACCGAGUGAUGCGAGAAUCUAUUGGGCUAGAGGGGAACCUCUUAGGAAAAAGCAGCACUCAAAACCGAGUGUUAUGGUCAUGGCAUUUCAUGAAAGCGAUGAGGAGAUACGGAGAGUUCCGGAGUUUGGUGGAGAAGCUACCGGGAAAGAAAUUUCGGGACGAGAAUCUGGAUCGGGACCGGUCAGGACCAGACACAAAUAACGGUCGGAGGAGAGGGUCAAACGAAGCGAGUGGGGACUCUGGCUGAGAAGAGACCAAGCAGAUAAAGAGGUACCCAGUUUUUUACACUUUUUACCAUUAUUGUUUAGAGGGUGGUAAAUAAAGGUUGGUUGCGUGAUGGGGAUUGUUUGGUAGUUUUUUGUGAAUAAAAAACGUUUUGAGGAACAGAGUCUCAGCACAGCAGAGAGGAAGAAAGCUUACUUGGGUGAACUGGAAAACAGAGUGAAAGACUUGGAGAACAGAAACUCUGAACUUGAAGGGAGACUUUCUACUUUGCAGAACGAGAACCUGAUGCUUAAACAACAAUAUCUGGACCCGAAUAGAAAGCAGUAACAUAAGCCAGUGUAUCACAUGACUGAGUUGCAGUCUCUCCUUUAUCCCCUCUUUCUCCAGGAACUCAGAGGUUCCUACCCCUUAUUGUGGUUAUUUUGUUAUAUGUGAGAAAAUUUACAGCAGGAUCAUGGGAAUGUGACAGAUGGAGAAGUGAACGAGUCCACCAUAGUUCAUCUUCUUAAUUCACGUAGCUUCUUUGGAAAAAUCAAAGGCUCCUGUACAGUUGCAAAGUUUGCGGAGAAGCCUAAGCGACUUCUGAAUUCAUUUGAUAGGCAAGAUUACAAGAGAAGUCCCUUUCUCAAUGAUCUAAGGCACCAAGGUUGAAGGAUUUUGAAAACAAGAGAGGUGAAGGUCAUUGCAUAUAAGUGUUUGCUGAGCUUAUGUGUUGGAAGAUCAACCAAUUACGUAUGCGCUCUCCAUAGGAUCUGAAAGGACGUCUGAAUAUGCAGUUUCAAGUUGAAGAAUGUUGCUGGUGGUCUUACAAGGAUAAUGGUAUAAAUUAGUUUCAACAGUUAUAUUUGUUUCCAUUUCUUGACCGAGAACUUAAAAAACAUAUUUGAUGAACAUACUGUAUAUAACUGUUUAUGGAAUUAAAAAUUAAUAAAUAAUUUCAUGAUA